Misgurnus anguillicaudatus (oriental weatherfish) is the source of this 604-nucleotide long non-coding RNA. RefSeq lists it as uncharacterized. The record is from RefSeq and is a predicted model, not a curated record. Lineage: Eukaryota; Metazoa; Chordata; Actinopteri; Cypriniformes; Cobitidae.
GACGUCAUCCGGCUGUCGGUUCUUGCGGCGCCGCAUGAAGUCGAACAAGCCUAACCUCACGCGGCGGAAACACUUCCAGUAUGUUAUUUGAUCAAUCGCAGCAACAGCCAACAGUGGUAAUUAAAAUUAUUUAUUAGUGAAUUUUCCCAUAAUAUAUCCAGCACGCGAGACAUUGGUCUUUGUUUGGUAUCAACAAACACAAGUGCGCGCGCUCACACAGUUUAAAUGCAAACGGUCAGUUUGACAGACACGGCAGAGAUUGUCCUUUUAUUCAAUCUUUCACAUAAUAAGGAAACAAGACUCAAACAAAAUCUCAUUUUAUCUUUGCAACGACGCCAUCUAGAGUAAUAGUACAAGGAUUACAACCAGGUCAAGGCUACUUCAAUGUCAUUCAAGGCGAACAGAGGGAGUGGCCUAAUCCAUUGGUCUCCAACAUGGUGCCCGUGGCUGCCCGCACAGAGCCUGUCACUUGCAUAAAGGCACGCCUUUACAAUGAGGAGAAUCAGGAGUCCGAUCAAAGCUACGCCGGCCAGAGAUCCUCCUACAAUGGCUGCUAUAUUUGGCCCCUCAGGACACUCUAUUACAAGAAACAUGAAGGUUGAAA